CAGCCGCCGCGGUAAUACCGGCGGCUCGAGUGGUGGCCACUAUUACUGGGCUUAAAGCGUUCGUAGCUGGUUUGUUAAGUCUCUGGGGAAAUCUUCCGGCUCAACCGGAAGGCGUCUCAGGGAUACUGGCAGACUAGGGACCGGGAGAGGUGAGGGGUACUCCAGGGGUAGGAGUGAAAUCCUGUAAUCCUUGGGGGACCACCUGUGGCGAAGGCGCCUCACCAGAACGGCUCCGACAGUGAGGGACGAAAGCUGGGGGAGCAAACCGGAUUAGAUACCCGGGUAGUCCCAGCUGUAAACGAUGCGCGUUAGGUGUAUCACUGACCACGAGUCAGUGAGGUGCCGAAGAGAAAUCGUGAAACGUGCCGCCUGGGAAGUACGGUCGCAAGGCUGAAACUUAAAGGAAUUGGCGGGGGAGCACCACAACAGGUGGAGCCUGCGGUUUAAUCGGACUCAACGCCGGGAAACUCACCAGUUAAGACAGCUGAAUGAUAGUCGGGCUGAAGACUCUACUUGACUAGCUGAGAGGUGGUGCAUGGCC
RNAcentral lists this ribosomal RNA (541 nucleotides) under uncultured archaeon. RNAcentral's name for it is "bacterial SSU rRNA". It matches the Rfam family "Archaeal small subunit ribosomal RNA", at positions 459 to 999 of the family's 1478-position model. The record is from RNAcentral.